UUUCACUACAUAAAACUUUUCUUCCAAUAUGUAUCAGGUGAGCACCUCCUCUUUCUUUGACUAUUUUUUCACAUUUCCUUUCUAUGGAGAAUACACUUUAGACCUCCAAUCAGGCCCUUCACCAUCAUAGAAAUCUGUAACUUCAUGCUUUUCUGUCUUUUAACAAUAGUGAUAGCUGUAAUUCUGUAUCUAUCAUAUGAUUAUUUGAUAGGCUUACCAAGCAUACCAUGUUGAAUUGGUACUGAGGGAGUUCCUGGGAGGUAGACUUUCCUUCUAAAACAGGGACAGUCCCAGAAGAACAGGAAGAGUUAUUUUUCCUAUUAUUUAAUUAAUAUCAACAUCUGCUUUGACUUUUGUUUUCUAAGCUUCAUAAGUACACAUAACAUAUUGUUAGAGUUGACCAAUGACUUGUUUGUUUUACUUAUAGUAGAAACUCAAUAAAUAUUUUUUUAAAAACUGUCUUAGAGAAGGCCGAGCAAGAUGGCUGAAUAGAAACCCCCAGCUAUUUUUACCCCAACAAGAACAACAAAUUGAACAACUCUCCACACAAAAAGCACCCUCAUAAAAACCAAACAUCUGGUGAGCAAUCACAGCACCUGGUUUUAACAUCAUAUUAAGAAAAAAGGCACUGAAAAUUGUAGGAAAGACAGACCUGAAUCACCUAGAUUUGGUCUAUCAUAUAAACCAAAUGGAUCUGAUAGUUAUUUACAGAACAUUUUAUCCAACAGCUGCAGAAUACACAUUCUUCCUCCUCUGCACAUGAAUCAUACUCAAGGAUAGACCAUUUGUUAGGUUACAAAACAAGUCUUAACAAUUCAAAAAAAAUUGAAAGUGUAUGAAGUGUCUUCUCUGACCACAAUGGAAUAAAACAAGAAAUCAAUAACAAGAGGAAUUUGGAAAACUAUAGAAACACAUGUAAAUUAAACAAUAUAUCCCUAAAUAACCAGUGGAUCAAUAAAGAAAUUAAGAGGUAAAUUAAAAAAUUUCUUGAAACAAAAAAAAAAAUGGAAACAAAACAUAACAAAAUGUAUGGGAUACAGCAAAAGCAGUAACAAGAGGAAACCUUAUAGCAAUGAACACCUACAUCAAAAAAAAAAGCAGAAAAACUUCAAAUAAAAACCUAACAAUGCAUCUUAAAGAACUAGAAAAGCAAGAAAAACCAAACCCAGAAUUAAUAGAAGAAAAGAAAUAAAAAAGAUCAGAGCAGAAAUAAGUGAAAUUGGAGUGAAAAAAAUACUAAAGAUCAAUGAAAUGAAAAGCUGUUUUUGAUAGGAUAAAUAAAGUCAACAAACAACAAACAUUUAGCCUAACUAAAAGAAAGAAAGAAAGAAAGAAAAGAAAGAAAGAAAGAAAGAAAGAGAGAAAGAAAACCCAAAUAAAUAAAAUCAAAGAUGAAAAUUAAGGCCUCAAAACCAAUUCUGUGGAAACACAAAGAAUCAUUAGGGGCUACUAUGAGCAACUAUAUGCCAAUAAAUUUGAAAAUCUAGAAGAAAUGGAUAAAUUUCUGGAAAUACACAACCUAUCAAGAUUGAAACAUGAAGAAAUACAAAACCCAAACCAAUCAAUAACAAAUAAUGAUAUCGAAGCCAUUAUAAAAAAUCUCCCCUCAAAGAAAAGCCAGGGACCUGAUAGCUUUACUGUUGAAUUUUACCAAACAUUAAAAGAACAAAUACCAAUCCUACUCAAACUGUUCAAAAGAGACAGAGAGAGAGAGAGAGAGAGAGGGAGAGAAAGAGAGAGAGAGAGAGAG
Molecule: long non-coding RNA, 1750 nt
Filed under: Homo sapiens (human)
Lineage: Eukaryota; Metazoa; Chordata; Mammalia; Primates; Hominidae
Description: HSALNT0386506
Source: RNAcentral